GAUGACGUGUCCGAGUGGUUAAGGAGACUGACUCGAAUUUUUCAGAAGAGUGUUAUCAGUUGGGCUUGCCCGCGCAGGUUCAAAUCCUGCCGUCAUCG
This 98-nucleotide transfer RNA is filed under the name Candida maltosa Xu316. It matches the Rfam family "tRNA". Rfam says of the family: Transfer RNA (tRNA) molecules are approximately 80 nucleotides in length. Their secondary structure includes four short double-helical elements and three loops (D, anti-codon, and T loops). The record is from Rfam by way of RNAcentral. Lineage: Eukaryota; Fungi; Ascomycota; Pichiomycetes; Serinales; Debaryomycetaceae.